This 429-nucleotide ribosomal RNA is filed under the name Bacteroidota bacterium. RNAcentral's name for it is "Bacteroidetes bacterium partial 16S ribosomal RNA". It matches the Rfam family "Bacterial small subunit ribosomal RNA", at positions 355 to 776 of the family's 1533-position model. Lineage: Bacteria; Pseudomonadati; Bacteroidota. The record is from RNAcentral.
UAGGGAAUCUUCCGCAAUGGACGCAAGUCUGACGGAGCAACGCCGCGUGAGUGAAGAAGGAUUUCGGUUCGUAAAACUCUGUUGUUAGAGAAGAACAGCGCAUAGAGUAACUGUUAUGCGUGUGACGGUAUCUAACCAGAAAGCCACGGCUAACUACGUGCCAGCAGCCGCGGUAAUACGUAGGUGGCAAGCGUUGUCCGGAUUUAUUGGGCGUAAAGCGAGCGCAGGCGGUCAAUUAAGUCUGAUGUGAAAGCCCCCGGCUCAACCGGGGAGGGUCAUUGGAAACUGGUUGACUUGAGUGCGGAAGAGGAGAGUGGAAUUCCAUGUGUAGCGGUGAACUGCGUAGAUAUAUGGAGGAACACCAGUAGCGAAGGCGACUCUCUGGUCUGUAACUGACGAUGAGGCUCGAAAGCGUGGGUAGCAAACAGG